UGCCAUUGCACUUUGUUCUAUUGGUGAACGUGCAAUCACUUGAGAACAAACUGGAAGCUCCGUUCGAGACUAUCCUAUCAACGGGACCUAAAAAACUGUAAUAUCCUAUGUUUCUCAGUGUAGUGGCUGAACGAGGACAUAUACGUACAUCUUGCUGGUUUUUCUAUGCAUCAUCAAGACUGGACGGCAGACUCAGGUAAGACGUAGGGAGGUGGCGGUUGUCUCUUUGAUAAUAAUAGCUGGUGCGUGCAAUCUCUGAAAUUAUGGAAGUCUUGAGUUUUUGCUCACCUGAGGUAGAAUACCUCAUGAUAAGCUGGAGACUGUACAAUUUACCAAGAGCUUUCAUCUGUUUUUUUUCCGUUUACCACCGUUUACCACCGUUUACCACGAUGCUGGCACUAGGACCGCCCUGAACAAGCUGUAUAGGGCCAUAAGCAAACAAGAAAAUGCACAUCCAUUCCUCUUAUGCACUCAGGACAUGCAUUGGUAGUACCCAACUCGCUAACGACCCUCAGGUUCUAAUGGCCUGGUACUCAGGGCCCUGUUGUCCCUUCAUCAGGUCCUAAUGGCCUGGUACUCAGGGCUCUAUUGUCCCUCCAUCAGGUCCUAAUGGCCUGGUACUCAGAGCUCUGUUGUCCCUCCAUCAGGUCGUAAUGGCCUGGUACUCAGGGCUCUAUUGUCCCUCCAUCAGGUCCUAAAGGCCUGGUACUCAGGGCUCUAUUGUCCCUCCAUCAGGUCGUAAUGGCCUGGUACUCAGGGCUCUAUUGUCCCUCCAUCAGGUCCUAAUGGCCUGGUACUAUUGUCCCUCUAACCACUCUGAAAUCAAUGCAAAUGAAAUCGAAAAUUACAUCAAAAACGUAUCAUCAAAACAGUAUGUGCUUUUAAAACUCACCUCACUGUGAUUGAUCAAUUUGAAGAAAGAGGUUCAACAACAGGUUAAAACUGAGUGGAAAAACAUGUUUGUUGUGGAUGUUGGUUUCAAGGCCUAACACAAUGAAAUGGACAGCGCUUUUACGGGGAUGUUUAAUUCAAAACACCCAUAGACAUAUUAGAGUUUAUGCGUACUCUCACCACAUAUGCUGCUGGUACUGUCCAUUAUCUGUCCUGUAGUCACUUUACC
Molecule: long non-coding RNA, 1120 nt
Organism: Oncorhynchus tshawytscha (Chinook salmon)
Lineage: Eukaryota; Metazoa; Chordata; Actinopteri; Salmoniformes; Salmonidae
Source: Ensembl